UACGGAGGGUGCGAGCGUUGUCCGGAAUCACUGGGCGUAAAGAGCUCGUAGGCGGCUUAGUAAGUCGGGUGUGAAACCUCCAGGCUCAACCUGGAGACGCCACCCGAUACUGCUGUGGCUAGAGUCCGGUAGGGGAGCGUGGAAUUCCUGGUGUAGCGGUGAAAUGCGCAGAUAUCAGGAGGAACACCAGCGGCGAAGGCGGCGCUCUGGGCCGGUACUGACGCUGAGGAGCGAAAGCGUGGGGAGCAAACAGG
This 254-nucleotide ribosomal RNA is filed under the name uncultured bacterium. Its description in RNAcentral is "partial 16S ribosomal RNA". It matches the Rfam family "Bacterial small subunit ribosomal RNA", at positions 524 to 776 of the family's 1533-position model. The record is from RNAcentral.